GUCUUGGAUUUCCUUAAUGUUUAGGGUUUUCCAUUUUCCUAACCUGCUUGACGGCGUUCGGAAUACUGGUAUAUACGAUGCUUUCGAGAUUGAAUGUAUAUAUUGGUUCUUCAUACCUCUAAUCGAAAUCAAGAACGGAAAUCUAUUAUGCUAUUUCUUUAAAAAAGUUUCUGGGUUUGCAAUGAUUACUUGCAGUAUAAUUGUGCGUCUGUGUUUUGUAUUGUGCCAUUUGAUUGUUGGUAGAUUUUGAAGUUGCAAUUGAAUUCAUUUUAUCUUGGUAAACAAUGAAAUUCCGUAUUUGCAGCAUUGAAUUCCAGGGGAUAUGUCUCUGAUAAGUUUAGGUAUUAAGAAUGAGUAAAAUAUUGAACUAGGAAUGCUGAUUAUUCAAUAACAUUCAUAAUUAUGGGUCUCUGGGCACCUGGUUGUAGUAGAUAUGACAUGUUGACUCACCUGCAACUGCUGUUCUUGAUUUUGUAGCUGAAUUGAGGUGGACAACUAUAUAUUUAAGAAAACAGUUAUUCAAGCUGCAUGUUUCUGGCAUCGAUUAGCUUACCAAAAUGGUUAUGGGCUCUGCUAGUGUCUGGGUGCUUUGGUCAGGAGGACAGUGUCCAUAGUCUUGUUUCGUUUAUCCUCUGCAAAUUCAUUAUAAGGUCAAUCUUUUCAAACAUCUAUGCUUGUACAAGUAAAGGUGUGAUUGACAUCAUUCCCAUGUGGUUUCUGUAAUUCUUUUAUGUCCAGGGGCUGAAUGUCCAUGAUCUAGUAUAGAAAAUGGGAGGAAUAUACACUAAACUACUCCGUUUAAACACAACCUCUUUUAGAUUUGCUCAGAAUAAAUCAUAAUUUUGAAUUAUGAAUGCUGAUAAAUGAUUUGCGUGCGCAUUGUUGUGGAAUAUAUGACUUGUAAUAGCAUGUUGUCUAUGUUUAUCUAAAGCUUUGAUUUAUGGGAAAGCCUGGUGAAGUGCGCUUUGGAUGAAACUCGCCUUGUGACCCUAACCGGCAAAGGACCACAUAGAGGUAAACUAGCUUAGGUUGUCCAUAGCUUACUGGUUCAAACCAAGAAGGCCAAUUUGUAGUUCCCAUGGGAAGUUGAAACUUAGAACCUUGUGGUUACCAAACCAACUUACCGACCAACUCGGUUGGGUUGUCCCCAUGUUCAUCUAAAGCUGAAUGCAGAUUUCAUGUGCUGAAAUGUGAUUUGUGCAUAACAGUCUAAUGGAUUUAGUGAUUCCCACAUGUGUAAGUUCAGUAAAAGCAUUUGGUGUACUUAUAAAUCUGUGCUUAUUAUUUUAACAUUUGACAAAAAAUUGUGAAGUCUCACAAACGCAAGAGUUCUGGCCUUUUCUUCUCUAUUUUUACCCAUCUGUUCUGGCCUGUGGAAGAAUCCAUAAGGCAUGACACAAUUUAAUACUGCUAGAGCACAACUUCCCACAACUCCACUCCCCCUCCUCUUGCCCAUAAGUUGAACUUUGUAAUUGUUUGAAGUUUACUGGGAGUAAUGGUGGUGAUGAUGCAUUGAUGCUCCUGUCAUUGUGAUCAAGAAAGUGAGGCAUGAUGCUAGUGAACCUGCUGCCAGUGAAAUUGUUUUUUUUUUUGUUUUUUUUUUUUUGUUUUUGUUUUUUUUUGUUUUGUUCAUGUUCUUGUUCUUUAAUGUAUGUUGCAGUAAGUGUUAAGGAAGUAUCUUUGAUAAAUCAAUAGUUUGUUAAUGUUUGCAGAAGAAAUGAAGUAUUUUGGCCACUGUAUCCAUGUUCUUCUACAUUCAAGAGUUGCAGAAACAAGUGGAGAGACUAAGGACUUGUUGGCAAGAAAGUUCAUUAGCUGAGUUUAACAUGAGAACAAGAAUUGGAAGUCAGAGGCCCAUACCAGCUGUUUCAGUGAAUCAAAAAUGAUGACAGAUGAUGGCCAUUGAACUGGGAUCCUGAAUUCAUGCCAAAUAUGAGAUGAUGGAGAAAGCUUAUGCAAAGAGAUUGGUGUCUCCAUACUUUUCUCUUCCCUUUAAGCAAAUGUUAAUUAGUUGAACUAUAUU
Molecule: RNA transcript, 2023 nt
Organism: Ipomoea nil (Japanese morning glory)
Lineage: Eukaryota; Viridiplantae; Streptophyta; Magnoliopsida; Solanales; Convolvulaceae
Gene name: transcription factor bHLH101-like
Exons: 4
Source: RefSeq, a predicted model, not a curated record